RNAcentral lists this ribosomal RNA (315 nucleotides) under uncultured bacterium. RNAcentral's name for it is "partial 16S ribosomal RNA". It matches the Rfam family "Bacterial small subunit ribosomal RNA", at positions 28 to 408 of the family's 1533-position model. The record is from RNAcentral.
GACGAACGCUGGCGGCGUGCCUAAUACAUGCAAGUAGAACGCAGUUGCGAACGGGUGAGUAACGCGUAGGUAACCUGCCUCCUAGCGGGGGAUAACGAUUGGAAACGAUAGCUAAUACCGCAUACUGUGAGAUGGACCUGCGUUGUAUUAGCUAGUUGGUGGGGUAAAGGCUCACCAAGGCGACGAUACAUAGCCGACCUGAGUGGGUGAGCGGCCACACUGGGACUGAGACACGGCCCAGACUCCUGCGGGAGGCAGCAGUAGGGAAUGUUCGGCAAUGGACGGAAGUCUGACCGCGCAACGCCGCGGUAAUUC